CCUACGGGAGGCAGCAGUCGAGAAUCAUUCACAAUGGGGGAAACCCUGAUGGUGCGACGCCGCGUGGGGGAAUGAAGGUCUUCGGAUUGUAAACCCCUGUCAUGUGGGAGCAAAUUAAAAAGAUAGUACCACAAGAGGAAGAGACGGCUAACUCUGUGCCAGCAGCCGCGGUAAUACAGAGGUCUCAAGCGUUGUUCGGAAUCACUGGGCGUAAGGCGUGCGUAGGCUGUUUCGUAAGUCGUGUGUGAAAGGCGCGGGCUCAACCCGCGGACGGCACAUGAUACUGCGAGACUAGAGUAAUGGAGGGGGAACCGGAAUUCUCGGGGUAGCAGUGAAAUGCGUAGAUAUCGAGAGGAACACUCGUGGCGAAGGCGGGUUCCUGGACAUUAACUGACGCUGAGGCACGAAGGCCAGGGGAGCGAAAGGGAUUAGAUACCCCAGUAGUC
This 446-nucleotide ribosomal RNA is filed under the name uncultured bacterium. RNAcentral describes it as "partial 16S ribosomal RNA". It matches the Rfam family "Bacterial small subunit ribosomal RNA", at positions 338 to 795 of the family's 1533-position model. The record is from RNAcentral.